ACAUGAAUCAUGGGAGGAUCUUGUUAGAAUGCAGAUUCGGGUUCAGUAGGACUGAUGUGGAGACCAAGGUUCUGCAUUUCUAAUAAGCCUCCAGGAGAUGCUGAC
This 105-nucleotide microRNA precursor is filed under the name Marmota monax (woodchuck). The record is from RNAcentral. Lineage: Eukaryota; Metazoa; Chordata; Mammalia; Rodentia; Sciuridae.